CCAAUUCUUUGUGUCUUAUGACACAAAGUCUUGUGAAUCGGAUAAUUCAGCCAGCUUGAGUCGUUUCCUCGCCAGCCUGGCUUUUCACCUGAGGGACUAGGUUUGCUGAUCCUGCCCAGGUUAAAAUGACUGAAAAUCAAUGUGGUUUGACAGCUGUGGGAAAAAAAUAAAUAAAUGGAUGUACAGACUGUUGAGCAACAAAGACUCUUCAAGUGGAUACGAAGUGAGGCACAAAAAGAAACUGUUGUCUCUUAUCUUCCUUACAGGCUCUUGAUUCAUGGCCAGUCACAGCCCUGUCUGAUAGGGUUGGCCUGACUCUUCCAUGGUGUUUUCCAUCUCCUCUCUGAUGAGCACAUUCUGCUCAGGAAGAAGUCACAGGAGGGCUGCUCAACUCCCCUGUCCUUGGCUGGCUGAGCUGGGCACAAACAGGAGCUCACCCAUGACUGUUGCUCUCCAGCAGUGCUCAGCAGCUCC
Molecule: long non-coding RNA, 474 nt
Filed under: Cyanistes caeruleus (blue tit)
Lineage: Eukaryota; Metazoa; Chordata; Aves; Passeriformes; Paridae
Description: lncRNA (ENSCCEG00000008174.1)
Source: RNAcentral